Molecule: ribosomal RNA, 381 nt
Filed under: uncultured euryarchaeote
Lineage: Archaea; Methanobacteriati; Methanobacteriota
Description: bacterial SSU rRNA
Rfam family: Archaeal small subunit ribosomal RNA
Source: RNAcentral
UAAUACUAGCGGUCCAAGUCGCAACCAUUUUUAUUGGGUCUAAAACAUCCGUAGCUUGCUCGGUAAGUUUCUUGUGAAAUCCUGUCUCUCAAAGAUAGGGCGCGCAAGAAAUACUGCCAAGCUAGAGACUGGUAGACGUAAGAAGUACGUUCGAAGUAGCGGUAAAAUGUUUUAAUCUCGAGCGGACUCACAAUAGCGAAGGCAUCUUACGAGAACAGAUCUGACAGUAAGGGAUGAAGGCUAGGGGCGCAAAACGGAUUAGAUGCCCGUGUAGUCCUAGCAGUAAACACUGCACACUAAACAUCAGUACCUCCUCGAGAGGUAUUGGUGCUGCAGCGAAGGCGAAGAGUGUGCUACCUGGGAAGUAUAGUCGCAAGGCCG